RNAcentral lists this ribosomal RNA (459 nucleotides) under uncultured bacterium. Its description in RNAcentral is "partial 16S ribosomal RNA". It matches the Rfam family "Bacterial small subunit ribosomal RNA", at positions 338 to 795 of the family's 1533-position model. The record is from RNAcentral.
CCUACGGGGGGCUGCAGUGAGGAAUAUUGGUCAAUGGCCGGGAGGCUGAACCAGCCAAGUCGCGUGAGGGAAGACGGCCCUACGGGUUGUAAACCUCUUUUGUCAGGGAGCAAGGUGCAGGUCGGGACCUGCUGUGAGAGUACCUGAAGAAAAAGCAUCGGCAAACUCCGUGCCAGCAGCCGCGGUAAUACGGAGGAUGCGAGCGUUAUCCGGAUUUAUUGGGUUUAAAGGGUGCGCAGGCGGAGGCACAAGUCAGCGGUAAAAUCGGGGGGCUCAACCCCGCUCCGCCGUUGACACUGUGUGCCUUGAGUGCGCGAAGGGUAGGCGGAAUGCGUAGUGUAGCGGUGAAAUGCAUAGAUAUCACGCAGAACUCCGAUCGCGAAGGCAGCCUACCGGCGCGCAACUGACGCUCAUGCACGAAAGCGUGGGUAUCGAACAGGAUUAGAUACCCGGGUAGUC